UAAUACAUGCAAGUAGAACGCUGAUGUUUGGUGUUUACACUAGACUGAUGAGUUGCGAACGGGUGAGUAACGCGUAGGUAACCUGCCUCAUAGCUGGGGGAUAACUAUUGGAAACGAUAGCUAAUACCUGCAUAAGAGUGAUUAACACAUGUUAGUUAUUUAAAAGGAGCAAUUGCUUCACUGUGAGAUGGACCUGCGUUGUAUUAGCUAGUUGGUGAGGUCAAAGUGCUCACCAAGGCGACGAUACAUAGCCGACCUGAGAGGGUGAUCGGCCACACUGGGACUGAGACACGGCCCAGACUCCUACGGGAGGCAGCAGUAGGGAAUCUUCGGCAAUGGACGGAAGUCUGACCGAGCAACGCCGCGUGAGUGAAGAAGGUUUUCGGAUCGUAAAGCUCUGUUGUUAGAGAAGAACGUUGGUAGGAGUGGAAAAUCUACCAAGUGACGGUAACUAACCAGAAAGGGACGGUAACUACGUGCCAGCAGCCGCGGUAAUACGUAGGUCCCGAGCGUUGUCCGGAUUUAUUGGGCGUAAAGCGAGCGCAGGCGGUUCUUUAAGUCUGAAGUUAAAGGCAGUGGCUUAACCACUUGUACGCUUUGGAAACUGGAGGACUUGAGUGCAGAAGGGGAGAGUGGAAUUCCAUGUGUACCGGUGAAAUGCGUAGAUAUAUGGAGGAACACCGGUGGGAAAGCGGCUCUCUGGUCUGUAACUGACGCUGAGGCUCUGAAAGCGUGGGGACGCAAACAGGAUUAGAUACCCUGGUAGUCCACGCCGUAAACGAUGAGUGCUAUGGUGUUAGGCCCUUUCCGGGGCUUUACGUGCCG
RNAcentral lists this ribosomal RNA (825 nucleotides) under uncultured Streptococcaceae bacterium. RNAcentral's name for it is "bacterial SSU rRNA". It matches the Rfam family "Bacterial small subunit ribosomal RNA", at positions 49 to 848 of the family's 1533-position model. The record is from RNAcentral. Lineage: Bacteria; Bacillati; Bacillota; Bacilli; Lactobacillales; Streptococcaceae.